UACAGAGGUCCCAAGCGUUGUUCGGAUUCACUGGGCGUAAAGGGUGCGUAGGCGGUCGGGUAAGUCUGAUGUGAAAUCUCACAGCUUAACUGUGAAACUGCAUUGGAUACUAUCCGGCUCGAGGAAUGGAGGGGAGACUGGAAUACUUGGUGUAGCAGUGAAAUGCGCAGAUAUCAGGAGGAACACCGGUGGCGAAGGCGGUUCUCUGGGCAUUACCUGACGCUGAGGAGCGAAAGUGUGGGGAGCGAACAGG
This 253-nucleotide ribosomal RNA is filed under the name uncultured bacterium. RNAcentral's name for it is "partial 16S ribosomal RNA". It matches the Rfam family "Bacterial small subunit ribosomal RNA", at positions 524 to 776 of the family's 1533-position model. The record is from RNAcentral.